GUGAGGUGAUGACAAAGUUUAUCCAUUCUCUGAGUGCAGUGGCGCUGCCCUCCUGCAGCACCCCGAUUCCUGUUCUAGGGUCUGGGUGCUGUGCAGCCUCCAGAGACUCUCCAGUCUCCCAGUGUCCUACUGGGGGCUGCUGUGGUGUGUGGCUGGCUGGCUGUCUGCAGGAGUGAAGUGGUGCUGGCAGGGUUGGAGCCCCUCUUUGGGGUGGUUCCAUCCUCACUGAGAUGAGGGAUGAUGUCUGAUCAC
Harpia harpyja (harpy eagle) is the source of this 252-nucleotide small nucleolar RNA. RefSeq annotates it as small nucleolar RNA SNORD17. The record is from RefSeq and is a predicted model, not a curated record. The transcript has a single exon. NCBI's taxonomy places the organism in Eukaryota, Metazoa, Chordata, Aves, Accipitriformes, Accipitridae.